This 468-nucleotide ribosomal RNA is filed under the name uncultured bacterium. RNAcentral describes it as "partial 16S ribosomal RNA". It matches the Rfam family "Bacterial small subunit ribosomal RNA", at positions 28 to 507 of the family's 1533-position model. The record is from RNAcentral.
GACGAACGCUGGCGGCGUGCUUAACACAUGCAAGUCGAACGGAAAGGCCCUGCUUUUGUGGGGUGCUCGAGUGGCGAACGGGUGAGUAACACGUGAGUAACCUGCCCUUGACUUUGGGAUAACUUCAGGAAACUGGGGCUAAUACCGGAUAUGAGCUCCUGCUGCAUGGUGGGGGUUGGAAAGUUUCGGCGGUUGGGGAUGGACUCGCGGCUUAUCAGCUUGUUGGUGGGGUAGUGGCUUACCAAGGCUUUGACGGGUAGCCGGCCUGAGAGGGUGACCGGCCACAUUGGGACUGAGAUACGGCCCAGAAUCCUACGGGAGGCAGCAGUGGGGAAUAUUGCACAAUGGGCGGAAGCCUGAUGCAGCAACGCCGCGUGCGGGAUGACGGCCUUCGGGUUGUAAACCGCUUUCGCAUGUGACGAAGCGUGAGUGACGGUAAUGGGUAAAGAAGCACCGGCUAACUACGUG